This 79-nucleotide transfer RNA is filed under the name Betaproteobacteria bacterium. RNAcentral's name for it is "tRNA-OTHER". The record is from RNAcentral. Lineage: Bacteria; Pseudomonadati; Pseudomonadota; Betaproteobacteria.
GCGGGUCCAGGUCGAUGGCAGAACGGCAGCUUCCCCUUGGGAAGCUGAUACGAGGGUUCAAUUCCCUUCACCCGCUCCA